GAUGAACGCUGGCGGCGUGCCUAAUACAUGCAAGUCGAGCGAACAGACGAGGAGCUUGCUCCUUUGACGUUAGCGGCGGACGGGUGAGUAACACGUAGGUAACCUACCUAUAAGACUGGGAUAACUUCGGGAAACCGGAGCUAAUACCGGAUAAUAUUUCGAACCGCAUGGUUCGAUAGUGAAAGAUGGCUUUGCUAUCACUUAUAGAUGGACCUGCGCCGUAUUAGCUAGUUGGUAAGGUAACGGCUUACCAAGGCAACGAUACGUAGCCGACCUGAGAGGGUGAUCGGCCACACUGGAACUGAGACACGGUCCAGACUCCUACGGGAGGCAGCAGUAGGGAAUCUUCCGCAAUGGGCGAAAGCCUGACGGAGCAACGCCGCGUGAGUGAUGAAGGUCUUCGGAUCGUAAAACGCUGUUAUUAGGGAAGAACAAACGUGUAAGUAACUGUGCACGUCUUGACGGUACCGAAUCAGAAAGCCACGGCUAACUACGU
This 496-nucleotide ribosomal RNA is filed under the name uncultured bacterium. RNAcentral's name for it is "partial 16S ribosomal RNA". It matches the Rfam family "Bacterial small subunit ribosomal RNA", at positions 28 to 506 of the family's 1533-position model. The record is from RNAcentral.